RNAcentral lists this long non-coding RNA (253 nucleotides) under Panax ginseng (ginseng). RNAcentral's name for it is "long non-coding RNA (PGIN_LNC015178)". Lineage: Eukaryota; Viridiplantae; Streptophyta; Magnoliopsida; Apiales; Araliaceae. The record is from RNAcentral.
UUAAAUCUAUUUAUGACUCUUAAUUUUGGUGAGAAAGAUGGGUGGUGUUAGAGAUUUGAUGGUGGUAGAGAUUUGUUGGUAGUGAAAAUGGGUGUUUGGGAUGUGUUGGAGAUUUGUUUUGUAGUGGAUAUAGGUGCUAGAGAUGGAUGGAUUGACAUAUUUCAAGCUUGUUCUUUGAUUUGGUUAUGGUGAUGGUGAUUUACAAUGCUGAGAAAGUAAGCUGAUAUGGAUGAAUGAGGUUUGUUGACUGACU